This 253-nucleotide ribosomal RNA is filed under the name uncultured bacterium. Its description in RNAcentral is "partial 16S ribosomal RNA". It matches the Rfam family "Bacterial small subunit ribosomal RNA", at positions 524 to 776 of the family's 1533-position model. The record is from RNAcentral.
UACGUAGGGUGCAAGCGUUGUCCGGAAUUAUUGGGCGUAAAGGGUGCGUAGGCGGCGCGGUAAGUCGGAUGUGAAAUCUCGGAGCUUAACUCCGAAACUGCAUUCGAUACUGCCGUGCUUGAGGACUGGAGAGGAGACUGGAAUUUACGGUGUAGCGGUGAAAUGCGUAGAUAUCGUAAGGAAGACCAGUGGCGAAGGCGGGUCUCUGGACAGUUCCUGACGCUGAGGCACGAAGGUCAGGGGAGCAAACGGG